GGGCCCACCUCACCUGUGUGUCCGUGGCUCUGUGGGGUUCCCAACCCGCUCCAGCCUCACCCCUUUGCUCCCCCGCCCGCUGGGCUCCUCCGCAGGGUGGGCGCCCCCCGGGACGCAAAAUGCCCAAAAUCCGCCCCCCUUUGCGCCCCGCUUUGAGCCCCCACCGGUGCCCCACGGGGGAUUUGGGGUCCACCAAACCCUUCCCACAGCCAGGGCAGGAUGACUUCUCUGCGAAUCUUCCUCCUCCUCCUCCUCCUCCUCCUCCGUGCGCCCCGCUUCUGGCUCCAGCCCUCUCCAAGCACGCGGGCGAAGCGGCCGCCCCCACGCACCGACCCCCCCCGGACCCCCGGCCCCUCCAGGAGCAGCACGAAGCUGCCAGGCCUCCCUUCGCGUCCUGCAUGGUCCUGGGGGGGCUCUCCUGGAGGUGAGGGUGACCCCGGCACCCGUGGGUGCCCGAAAAAUGACGAAGCGAGGGCUGGGUGCGAGCUAACGAGGGGUCCCCGUGCUCGGCAAGGUGCCCCCUCUCCUUCGGGUGCCUUCGCCCACCCCAUGCCUGCCUGGCGAUGUGACCCGUGGGGUUUUGGGGCUGGGAGGUGAUGGAGUGCAUGGGGAUGGGGUGCAGCCACCCCAAAACCUCCACGUUUCACCCCAAGUCGUGUGGGACCACGCGCGUCCGUGCGCCCAGGCUCCGGUGUGAGAUGGGGCGAGCUGGAGGCACGGGGCUGGGAACUGGGGUUGGGAACUGGUCUGGGGAUGGGAUUGGGAAUGGAAUUGGGGUUGGGGAUGGGGUUGGGGACAGGACUCGAGGUCCUGGCCACGCUGCGCUGCUUGGGGACAGCUCCAGCCAUCCCCGUCCCUGCUCCUGCCAUCCCCGCUGCCCAUGCCCUGCGCCCCAAAUCCCUUCCCAGCCCCCAGGGCAGCCCCCAGCCCCUGUGGGGUCAGCGCCCUCCGUCCCCAUAGGCCUGGGGGGGCACCCCCGGACUCACCCACAGCUCCGGGACCCUCGGCAGCAGCCACCAGCUCGGCUCCAACUUUGCCACAAGUCCACACAAAGGCGGCCCCCCCAGCCUUGUCCCCAUCCCCGUGUCCCCGUCCCUAUCCCGGCCCCCGCCAGGGCAGACAGCCUGGUGCCACCAGGGCUUAAUGAGGGCGCGAGGGCGGUGGGCUGGGGGGGGGGCUGCACGCUCCACACUCACCCCCCCCUUGGUGGGACUGCUGCUUAACCCUUCCCCUGCUGCUCCUCCCUGUCCCCACCUUGGGGGACAGCGGGGAGGAAUUUGGGGGGGGGUCCCUGCGCCUCCACAGCUCCCCGCAGCAGGUACUGGGGGGGUCUGGCUGCAGGUUCCCCCCUCUGGGACCCCCCCAAAAAGUGCUUGGGAAGGAGCCAGGCGGGGACUCCAGACUAACAAAGUGCCCCCCAACACCCCCAUCCCCCCAAAAAUAU
RNAcentral lists this long non-coding RNA (1444 nucleotides) under Anas platyrhynchos platyrhynchos (common mallard). Its description in RNAcentral is "lncRNA (ENSAPLG00000030924.1)". The record is from RNAcentral. Lineage: Eukaryota; Metazoa; Chordata; Aves; Anseriformes; Anatidae.